AUGAAUGUGUUGGAGUGGGGGUGGAAUGAUGAGGCGUGGAAGUGGUAUAGGAGAUUGCUUGGUUUGGAGGAGGAGUUAGUGGGGGAGUGUAUUGAGAGGUUAACCUCAAUUGUUUUGCAGAGUGUAGCCUCAGCAGCAGCAGCCAUUGUUUAUUUAGCUCACUAUGGAAAUCCAAAUACUACUUGGUUUCCUUUCGGUCAACAAUACAACUACUUCUACGGGCGCAUUUCGGGUUCGCUUAUCGGCUCUUUCAUUCGUAGUGAGUACUUGUUAGCUUAG
This is a non-coding RNA of Vicia faba (fava bean), 279 nucleotides long. Lineage: Eukaryota; Viridiplantae; Streptophyta; Magnoliopsida; Fabales; Fabaceae. The record is from the annotation of a GenBank genome assembly.